Molecule: transfer RNA, 64 nt
Filed under: Nesophrosyne sp. 295 GMB-2012
Lineage: Eukaryota; Metazoa; Arthropoda; Insecta; Hemiptera; Cicadellidae
Description: tRNA-Leu
Source: RNAcentral
GAUGAUUUGGCAGAUUAGUGCCUUAAAUUUAGAAUUUAAAUAAGUAUUUAUAGUACAUUCAUUA